AGUAAGAGGUGUCAGUGUGUAGAGGUGUAAGUGUGUAGAGGUGUCAGUAUGUAGAGGUGUCAGUGUGUAGAGGUGUCAGUAUGUAGAGGUGUAAGUGUGUAGAGGUGUCAGUAUGUAGAGGUGUCAGUGUGUAGAGGUGUCACUGUGUAGAGGUGUCAUUGUGUAGAGGUGUCAGUGUGUAGAGGUGUCAUUGUGUAGAGGUGUCAGUGUGUAGAGGUGUCAUUGUGUAGCGGUGUCAGUAUGUAGAGGUGUCAGUGUGUAGAGGUGUCAGUGUGUAGAGCUGUGACAAGCACAUCGAGAACUGGAUCAGUCUCUGACACCUCUCCAGAGGAAGCAUGUGGCUCUAUGAGAUUGGU
Molecule: long non-coding RNA, 356 nt
Organism: Oncorhynchus tshawytscha (Chinook salmon)
Lineage: Eukaryota; Metazoa; Chordata; Actinopteri; Salmoniformes; Salmonidae
Source: Ensembl